AAUGCAAUUCUACUUCGAUGCUAAAAUACAUAGAUACACUGUUAGUAGAAAACUAACACACAUGCAAGGAAUUAAGUGCUGAAAAGAUGAGGAAAAGUGAAGUAGACGAUUUGAUCUUGAUCCCAAUAGAAAAAUGAAAAGAUGAAUCGAAGCACUAGCUGCUGCACCAUAUCUCUAGGACAUGACAUGACAACGGCACAUCCUUUUUCUGAAGCUUUCAAAGCAUCUUAUAAUUGGCAUCUUGACACAUGCAUGCAAUGAAAAAGAAAAAAAAGAAAAAGAAAAAACUAAGCUAACGGUUGAGCAUAUCCAAUCCAAGUUGGGAAAGUUCAAAUACCAAUCAAACACAUAGUCUGACUACCACUGUGGAUAGAAAGUUGGCACUCUUUUCUGAUUGGAAGUGGAAUAAUCACACAACCUGUUGCAGCCUUUCACCAUCUCAAAAUUAAUGAUGAUCCACUAGUUGACCAAGUAUAGAAUAUGUAUCAUUGGCGUUAUUUUGUCAUCAUCUAUUUUUAUGUAUGGACAGAAAUAGUUUAGAAUUGUUCAUACAUGCAUGAUGCCAUCUUAUGAAUCCAUCUGAGCAACUGAUUUUUUUAAAAAAAAAAUUAAUAAUAAAGUAGCUGUAGGUACAAGCUUUGAUCUAGUUAAAUAUAUGUUUAAUGAUGUAUCUGGUGGUACAACUUUUCAUGCUGCUAAUUGUUUGUACUUUAUUAUGGCAAUCAAGUACAACAGGCGAGAUGAUACUUCAAACAAGAUCACUUAAUACUAAUAUUUUUUUCUGCUGCAGGUUAGGACGAUGUACUUUUGCACUGCAACACAGGGAAAGCCUUUUACAUAUAGUCUAGAAAAAAGGACAUCUGCAGCAAAGAGAAAAACAAGUCUGACUACCUUUUUUUUACAUGCCUUGACAACGAACCUAGCUAGGGCCUUGUUUAGUUCUAAAUUUUUUUGCAAAAUCGAUACUGUAGCACUUUCGUUUGUAUUUGACAAAUAUUAUUCAAUCAUAGACUAAUUAGACUCAAAAGAUUCGUCUCGUCAAUUUCGACCAAACUGUGUAAUUAGUUAUUAUUUUCGUCUAUAUUUAAUACUCCAUGAAUCUGAAAAAUUUUGUAAAUUUUUUUGGAACUAAACAAGGCCUAGCUUACGUAGGGAAAUUAGAAAACCUGAAAAAAAAAAGAUGUGCAGCUCCAAAUGGGCAUUGGAAGCAAAAGAAAAAGGCUCAAUAAUUGUGCCCUGUUUCAGAGGUAGCUCGGAUGUGCACGUCACUAUGUGGAAUAAUCCAUUCCGUCCUUAAUCAAGAUGCUUACAAAUAUAUAUAUGAACUCUACAUACGAGCUUCUAAUUAAUGUUGAUGGAGUCAUGGCAUAACUAUAGCUACUAUUAAUUAUAGAACGUAGUGCCAAUAACAAAGUAGCUAUAUAGCUAGGUCAAGGAUAGCGAAUAGAGGAAAUAAACAAGCAUGAUUAAACGCUGACGACACUCAUAACUAAUCUACCAAAUUUUUUUAAUUGCCUCAAAUAAAAAGAUGAUCGAGGCAUGUAUAUGCUACUACUAUUGCAAAUCCGACGAGCAAGAACAUGCAUAUUUUGAACCAAAAGGCAAAGAAGAGAAGUUCACUACAACACGGGAGAGAAGAACAUGCGUAUUUUCAAUCACCAAUUGGAAGCUAAUAUGGAAGGAAGAAGGUCAUGCUCAUGCAUGCUAGCUUACCCGUCCAUAGCGGCCGGUGGGGUCAGUCUCGACGUAUCCGUUGUCGCCCAGUACCCCCGCCGCCCUCUCCGGCCGCCGCCGUCCGCCGCACCGCCGUGUCACCGACAUGCUCGGCUCCCUCCACACGGAGCUUUAUUUCCUUCUGUCCUCUUAGUUGCAGCAAGCAGAGAACUCAACUGUAUAACCACCUGCUAGUAUAUAUCUGGCUUGUAUAUAUGUAUGGAGAGCCUGCUGCCUGCCUAGCCGCAAAUCGAUGGAUGGAAGCUGCAGCUAGCAAAGCAAAAGUAGAAGUGGAGGAAGGAAGAGGUGUGUGUGGGCUGCGGCCGGCCUGUGCUAGAGGGCGCCGCCGGGGAGGAGGUCGUGGUCGUUGUCGUCGUAGGCAGAGAAGACGAAGACUCGGAAGAG
RNAcentral lists this long non-coding RNA (2118 nucleotides) under Sorghum bicolor (sorghum). RNAcentral's name for it is "long non-coding RNA (SBIC_LNC007527)". Lineage: Eukaryota; Viridiplantae; Streptophyta; Magnoliopsida; Poales; Poaceae. The record is from RNAcentral.